Molecule: long non-coding RNA, 582 nt
Filed under: Erythranthe guttata (spotted monkey flower)
Lineage: Eukaryota; Viridiplantae; Streptophyta; Magnoliopsida; Lamiales; Phrymaceae
Description: long non-coding RNA (EGUT_LNC001128)
Source: RNAcentral
UUUUCGUUCGAGUGCUACAGUAUCACUAUCGGUUUUCGGUUCGAGAAGAAAUCAGAGUUUAGAAAGGUUAUUUUGGUGAAUAAAUCGGAAUUCACUAAUGGAGGCGUGAAAAUAGCAAAACACGAAACUUACUAUAUUAUAAUCGGAGUUAAGUACGAUUCAUACCGGAAAAUGAGUUCAAAAGGUACGAAAAGAAAAUGUUACGGUUUAAUAUUACAUCACCAAAAGAAAACCCCAAAAUAUAUGGCAUCGUUCAUAGGUCCUCGUACAACUUCCAACAAAAUCCCGGGCAAGACCUCGAUCCGCUACUCGACCCAUCCCGGUUGAGAACUACUACUACCUGCAAUUAAAAGACAUCUAUAUGAGCUAUAAAGCUCAGUAAGAAAUCCGGGUAAUAUCGAACUUUGAAAAUACGUUAUACAUAACAUAUAAUAUUAUAUACCCAUUCUUACCCACGUUCCGUACCACAACACAAGACAAUCGGUCAAAUCACGUAAUUCACGAAAACACAUCAUUCACACAAAAUCACGUACUUAUGCAAAAUGACUAAAAUGCCCUUUUUACGAAAAUCAUGAAAAACAC